UAUCUCUGUAGAGUCUGCAUAUCAAUAAGCGGAGGAAAAGAAACUAACUAGGAUUCCCUCAGUAACGGCGAGUGAAGCGGGAAGAGCUCAAAUUUGAAAUCUUCAAGGUUCUACCUUGACGAAUUGUAGUUUAAAGAAGUGUUUUCUGUUGGAGUUUUGGUAAAAGUUCUUUGGAAUAGGACAUCAUAGAGGGUGAGAAUCCCGUAUUUGACCAUUAUUUCCAGCUUUGUGAUACACUUUCAAAGAGUCGGAUUGUUUGGGAAUGCAGUCCAAAAUGGGUGGUAAAUUUCAUCUAAAGCUAAAUACUGGCGAGAGACCGAUAGCGAACAAGUACCGUGAGGGAAAGAUGAAAAGAACUUUGAAAAGAGAGUUAAACAGUACGUGAAAUUGUCAAAAGGGAAGCGUUUGACACCAGUGUUGUUUUCUCGAAAAUCAAUUAAAAAAGGCAGGAUUUUGUGUUGUAUUGACUUUAUCAGCUUUCUGCACUCUUUUCUUGUCUUUUUUUAAUGCACUUUUCGUUUAACAAGUCAACAUCAAUUUCUUUUGUUGUAAAAGGGUCAUUGGAAGGUGGCUUUCUUUUCGGAGAAAGUGUUUAUAGCCUUUGGCCUCUGCAAUCGGAGAGAUUGAGGUCUGCAGCGUAGAUCCUUCGGGGUUAGAUACAUUUGUGCUAAGUUAUAGCCUUUCAUAGACAACUUGUUGACUAUGAUCAGUCAUGUAGCUUACUCGCUUAUGCUAUUUUACCUACGCUUAGGAUGUUGAAGAUGUAGCACAUCAU
RNAcentral lists this ribosomal RNA (775 nucleotides) under uncultured Neocallimastigales. RNAcentral's name for it is "partial large subunit ribosomal RNA". It matches the Rfam family "Eukaryotic large subunit ribosomal RNA", at positions 24 to 635 of the family's 3401-position model. The record is from RNAcentral. Lineage: Eukaryota; Fungi; Neocallimastigomycota; Neocallimastigomycetes; Neocallimastigales.